RNAcentral lists this ribosomal RNA (447 nucleotides) under uncultured bacterium. RNAcentral's name for it is "bacterial SSU rRNA". It matches the Rfam family "Bacterial small subunit ribosomal RNA", at positions 355 to 825 of the family's 1533-position model. The record is from RNAcentral.
UGGGGAAUAUUGGACAAUGGGCGAAAGCCUGAUCCAGCCAUGCCGCGUGAGUGACGAAGGCCUUAGGGUUGUAAAGCUCUUUUGGCGGGGAAGAUAAUGACGGUACCCGCAGAAUAAGCUCCGGCUAACUUCGUGCCAGCAGCCGCGGUAAUACGAAGGGAGCUAGCGUUGUUCGGAAUCACUGGGCGUAAAGCGCACGUAGGCGGAUUGUUUAGUCAGGGGUGAAAUCCCGGGGCUCAACCUCGGAACUGCCUUUGAUACUGGCAAUCUCGAGUCCGAUAGAGGUGGGUGGAAUUCCUAGUGUAGAGGUGAAAUUCGUAGAUAUCGGGAGGAACAUCAGUGGCGAAGGCGGCCCUCUGGUCCAGUACUGACACUCAAGUGCGAAAGCGUGGGGAGCAAACAGGAUUAGAUACCCGAGUAGUCCCUGAGCGGGCUGGCAAGGCGCAU